AAGGUGAACAAAAUUUAUGCUGCAAGACUGGCAAGAUGCACACAAUUAGACAACAAGCUAAUUCAAAUUCUUUAAAAAACAGGUAACAUUUUUACCUUUUCAGGUAAGUAUUAAAGGCCUUUGCCACAUGAUCUUUGUGGGUAAAUCGUGUCCACUCAAGUUAAGUUAAUUUGCAUCUAAACAUUUACAAUGCCUGACACAAUGGCAUUACAAUAAUCUAUUUUUCUGUUUUGCGUUACUGAGUGCAAAGGCCUUUAUUUACACACUGACGCAUGCCAAGACUGCCGUCAUGGCAUGUGUCACUGUCUCUCUCUAACUGUUCUGUCUGUCUCUCUCUCUCUCUCGCUGGUCUGUCUGUCUCUCUCUCUGGUCUGUCUGUGUGUCUGGUAUCUGUCUGUGUGUCCUGUGUGUUUUGUAUCCGUCUGUCUGUCCUGUGUCAGAUUUAGGCUUAGAUUUCUUUUUUAGUCUCAACUUAAAUGGAUGAUUUUAGAGUUGAUUAGUCUUGAGCCGUCUGAUUUCUGCAGGAAAUUCUGGUACCUUAUUUUGAAAUGGCUGUAAUUUAAAUAUUUAAUUUUGGUCUUGAGUCUCAGUUAUCAUAGUUGCAACUUGGACUGUUGACAAAUGUGGAAGCUGAUGAAUCAUGUAGUAAAUGCAUCAAAUUAGAAUCUUUUCUCAACUGGUAAUUGCUUUGAUAAGAUAACUGGUUCCUGAUUUGAUUAUGAAGCUAAACUUUUGAUUUAUAUGCAAGUGUAGUCACAUUAGAUUGUAGGUGUUAUUCAGCCCAUGGAUAAUGUUAUGAAUAUACCUUAAAUCUGGCAUUUGUUGGCACACUUGAUAUCCACUUAAGUCUUAAACUUUACGCACUGCCAUCAGCCUUUGUAGUCGCUAACUGAAAUCAAAUUCAAUAUUAAUGCUGACUUGUCUCACGCUGCCAAGUUUAUUUCCCUCUAAAGGAGUUGAACCUUUUUGUGUUCAUAGUCUUUUUGUGCGUCAUGUUGGGAGGCCUCCCAGCAGGGGAUUUUUAUCUUCCGCCUGCAAAACUAUGUGUUACUCGCCUUAGGGAUGCAGGGCUAUCCUGCAUAGUUUCUUUCAAAAAUUAGAUUGUAGGUUGCAGGAUUAGAGCGCGUUAAUUUUCUUUAGGAGGACACAAACCUGGCAGAGAGACAACUCGGAUUAUUUAAGUGAAAGUUCAAACUUUUUAUCUUUCGAUACGAUGACAUGAAAUAAAACCUUUAUUCUGUUGGCUGAAUUCAGACAGAAAUCAGACAGAAGUUGGCUUCAUGUUAAAGACUGUUGUGCAAGUACCCUCUUGUAGAAGGAGUGAGCAGCUGGAGCUUUUUAAUUUAUUUUUCGUUAUUUGAUUUGUUUCUUGGAUUGACUUGGUGUCUGGAGCUUUGUGGUUAACAGUGAUCAUGUAAACGUGUAACUGUUUACAUGUCUUUUGCCUCUUAUUUGCGAAGCUGGCAGCUGGUUGGAUUGAUAGGACCUAAUGGCUUGCCCAAAGCGGGAUUUUUGAUAGAGCAUAGGGUUAACACCUCACCAUACACUCGCUAUUUCAGCGAACAAGUGUCUUUAGUCCGCUAUUACCCAUGACUUUCUUUCAAAUUUCCCAAUUUAGGCAGCUUGUAGAGUCAUUAGGAAGACGCUUAAUCCCAAUGUCUUGGUUGGUUGCAUGAGAAACUGCCAUCUCUGUGUGUUGGCGAAGUUCCUCCUGAUUUUUGUAGACUUGCCCUAAAGUUUCUCUCUGCUUUAACGCUUGUUGAGCUAUGCAUUAAAUGAUUCCUCCAACUUGUCUCCAUAUCAAAUUUUUCUCUCCCUGCAGCCUUCCACCACCCACUGCUGCUGUUGCAUCUGCUAAAGGUAGCCGUAUCCUGAUUCACUGCGUCUUCAUGUGUUGGGUAAGAAGUGUCAUUAGACUAUUAACAAUGUAAACACCUUUGAAAUGCUUGAUCUAAUUUACCCAAAUGGUUCAUCAGUUUAGGACAGAAAAUCAUUGAAUUUGACAUUUUUGGGGUCAGUAACCUGACCUCUAAAUGUUUGGGAAAACAUGCAAAAGAUCGCGAGCUCUCUGCAUGACCCAUCAGCAUCGAUGUUUGAGUUAUUUAAUUGCUCAAUUUUUAAAUCAGUCAAGAUUUUAUGAGCUGGGUCUUCUUCACACAACAGAGAACAAGGUAAAUUGAGUCGACUCGUAACAUGGUAAGGCAUUUCGUCUUUCCCCUUCUUCUCUGUGUGUGAGGAAAUCUGGCCACGGAUCCUGACUGAGUGGCAUACCAUGGCUGUGCAGUUUCCAAAAUCAGACAAGGAUCCAUCUGAUUUUGUGACUCGGCUUGUCAUGAUAUGCAUGUAUCUUCCUCUGAAACAAAGGAUUGGAGUGGUCAGGUUUGUAGUGUAAAUCACAUCACAUCACUUGUAGAUGGUGAAGCAUUUGUUUAAAUUGAGGUCAAGCAUUUUCAGGUGUCUGCUUUGUCAAUACUCUGGUGCCACGUCUUGCUAAACACACGAGAAGCUCUGAAUUGUGAAACUGCUGCCUCUUGCAGAUGUUACAACAGCAAUGGCUGUUGAAAGGCUACAGGGAGAGGAAAUGAGAUCUGAGGACAGGAAAGUGGAUUUGAUUUCAUGCUUAGCAAAAUGAGGGUUUCAGCAGAGGAACUUUUUGUGGCAAGGCUAAAGAAUCAGAAGGAACGUUUGUCUGGGCAACUGGGAGAUUUACAGUUUGUCAUGCAGCCAACCAAGACAUUGGCGUUAGCAUCAUCCCAAAUGGCUGGCAAAGAUUGCUUGUAACUGUCAGUGUAGGACAGGAAAGGCAGAUAUAGGUUAGGGAGGGCAUCCAUCGGUGAGCUCUGACUGGAUGUAAGGACCUGUCACACUUGACCAGAGAUGAAGGCUGCAGCACAUUCCUGGAUCAGAGGACUCCAUGUUGGACACCACGACGUGGAGAAGUCCCGUCCUGGAUGGCUGCGGUGAUGACCUAGCCCAAGAUGAACCGACCCUUCUACGACGAGGACUUUGCCCAAGAUGAACCGACCUUUCUACGACGAGGACUUUGCCCAAGAUGAACCAACCCUUCUACGACGAGGACUUUGCCCAAGAUGAACCAACCUUUUCCACCUCUUUUCCACGGGAUGUCUUCAGAUGCUGGACCUUGCCAAACUGUACACAUGCCUCAAUGGCUGCUACGUCACUCUGCCCAACAGGACAUGGUCACCGAGAUUUUUUAAAUUAUUUUAAAAUGGACUUUAACCCCCCCCUGUCCCACUGACCCACAACCACACACGACAAAACACUGUACAUGUGAUGCAUUACCACACUAAAAUACAGACACUGCUACUUUCAGCCUGUUUCAGUCUGUAAAAGAUCGCAAGCCCGCUGCAGGACCCAACAGCAUCGAUGUUUGAGUUAUUUAAUUGCUCAAUUUUUAAAUCAGUCAAGAGUUUAUGAGCUGGGUCUUCUUCACACAACAGAGAACAAGGUAAAUUGAGUCGACUCGUAACAUGGUAAGGCAUUUCGUCCUUCCCCUUCUUCUCUGUGUGUGAGGAAAUCUGACCACGGAUCCUGACUGAGUGGCAUACCAUGGCUGUGCAGUUUCCAAAAUCAGACAAGGAUCCAUCUGAUUUUGUGACUCGGCUUGUCAUGAUAUGCAUUUAUCUUCCUCCGAAACAAACGGUUGGAAUGGACAGGUUUGUAGUGUAAAUCACAUCACUUGUUGAUGGUGUACAGACACUGCUACU
Molecule: long non-coding RNA, 3728 nt
Organism: Solea solea (common sole)
Lineage: Eukaryota; Metazoa; Chordata; Actinopteri; Pleuronectiformes; Soleidae
Exons: 3
Source: RefSeq, a predicted model, not a curated record